This 433-nucleotide ribosomal RNA is filed under the name uncultured bacterium. RNAcentral's name for it is "partial 16S ribosomal RNA". It matches the Rfam family "Bacterial small subunit ribosomal RNA", at positions 29 to 507 of the family's 1533-position model. The record is from RNAcentral.
AACGAACGCUGGCGGCAUGCCUAACACAUGCAAGUCGAACGAGACCUUCGGGACUACUUGCGCACGGGUGCGUCACGCGUGGGAACGUGCCCUUAGGUUCGGAAUAACUCCCCGUAGGGGGUGCUAAUACCGGGUAAUGUCUUCGGACCAAAGAUUCGACGUCUUUGUAUGGGCCCGCGUUGGAUUAGCUAGUGGGUAUGGUAAAAGCCUAUCAAGGCGACGAUCCAUAGCUGGUCUGAGAGGAUGAACAGCGACACUGGGGCUGAGACACGGCCCAGAAUCCUACGGGAGGCAGCAGUGGGGAAUAUUGGACAAUGGGCGAAAGCCUGAUCCAGCAAGGGCGCGUGAGUGAUGAAGGCCUUAGGGUUGUAAAGCUCGUUUACCCGGGAUGAUAAUGACAGUACCGGGAGAAUAAGCACCGGCUAACUCCGUG